Molecule: long non-coding RNA, 1303 nt
Filed under: Equus caballus (horse)
Lineage: Eukaryota; Metazoa; Chordata; Mammalia; Perissodactyla; Equidae
Description: lncRNA (ENSECAG00000048707.1)
Source: RNAcentral
UUUAAAUGCACUUGAAUGUGCAUUGCUUUUAAUUCUUUUAAUGCAAACAGUUUUAAGUACAUUCAGACAGUGUGUUAAACAUAGGGAGUAAAAUGAACAUGAUUCCUUCUCUCCAUAAACAUAUAGUCUAGUCUAGUGGGACAGAGCUAUUAAAUAAGUAAUUACGCACAUAUGCCUUGUAUAAAUAUAAUCGUGGAAAGUGCUAUAAAGACUAGAGAAUGCUCUAAGAGUUCAUCAUAUGGAAGCUCCCUUAUCUUGGAAUAAAGAAAAAUCUCCCCAAAGAGGUGCUAUUUCAGCUGGGACUUGAAGGACCUGUAGGAGUUUAUCAGAUUAUGGAGGGCAGAGUAUGACACCCAGAGGAAGCCGCAUACAAAUUCCAUGGUCCAGGGAGGGCCCAGUGUGGCCCCAACUAGCGGGAUGAACGACGACUGAGAAGGAGAGUGAUGGGCUAGAGCAGAAGGGCUGGUAAUGUGCACCUUGCCCACCACCAUCUCUGGGAUCACAGCAGGCCACUGACGGCAUGUAGGCAGGAGAGAGACAUAAUCAGGUCUGCAUUUUUAAACCCAUUCCUUGGGGGCUAUGUGUAUAAUGGGCUGGUACUAGGCAAGGGCAGAUGGGGUGAGAGCAAUUCAGAACCUGUUGCAGGGGCUCAUCUUUGAGCUGGGGUGGUGGCAUGGCAAUGGAGAGGAGAGGAGAGGGCUUGGGGUUAUUUGAGAGAGAGAGGGAGACACCUUGGCUAGUAGUCAGAUGUACAGGGAGUGUGGAGGGGCAGGCCCUGGGAGGUGCGACAGGAGCUCAGCUGGGACACAGGAGGCUGAGCAUCCUGCGGAUGUGGUGAGACAAGGUCUUAAGCUCAGAAGCAGUCCAGUGCAGGGAAUUUUAUUGCCUGCUUUCUGCAUGCUCUUCUCUCCAACUCUGAAGAUUCCUCCCAGCUCCUAAUGGGGGCUCCCCCUUCCUCCUCUGACCUCCUCACACAGCAGCGUGUCCAGAAUCCCCCUCCAUGAUGCCCCUCUCUCCUAGCUGAUCUCUUCCUCACUGGGAUAACUGCCCUCACAUCUGUCUCCAGUUCUGUCCAAAGGCUCCCGAAUCUCGGUCUUCACCGCACGUUCACCUGUGCUCUAGAUCCACAUCGCAACUUUCGAUCUGCUGCCUCCUCUUCGGUGUCUUGCUGGCACCUUAACAAACCCAAUUCUGAGCUUAUUUUAUUUCCUGAAAAAACAAGAAAAACGAAGAAAAGCGCCCUUCUCCUCUGUUUCCAACCUCCAUUAAUGGCAUUACACUCUACUCAGACGCCCUGCUCCAA